This 82-nucleotide transfer RNA is filed under the name Caudoviricetes sp. Its description in RNAcentral is "tRNA-Leu". It matches the Rfam family "tRNA". From Rfam's summary of the family: Transfer RNA (tRNA) molecules are approximately 80 nucleotides in length. Their secondary structure includes four short double-helical elements and three loops (D, anti-codon, and T loops). The record is from RNAcentral. Lineage: Duplodnaviria; Heunggongvirae; Uroviricota; Caudoviricetes.
GCGGCUGUGGCGAAAUUGGUAGACGCACCAGAUUUAGGUUCUGGCGCCGAGAGGUGUGAGAGUUCGAGUCUCUCCGUCCGCA